RNAcentral lists this long non-coding RNA (550 nucleotides) under Struthio camelus australis. Its description in RNAcentral is "lncRNA (ENSSCUG00000014727.1)". Lineage: Eukaryota; Metazoa; Chordata; Aves; Struthioniformes; Struthionidae. The record is from RNAcentral.
AGACCUUGCAGUAUCAAGUCAGUGCAGAGCCUGAGGCCUUCUACUAGGAAAAGCAAAAUCACAUUUACCAGGCUGCAACGUUAAGCUUAAGGUUAAUGAUCAGUAUGUACUAUAUUCUGUGGUUUCAAGACAUACCCUCACUUUCAGUAACAGGUGUACAGGUGGUGAAAAACAGUUACAGUCUUAGCAUAGACUUGUCGGCAUUCACGUCUGCAAAGAAAGUGCAAUAACAGCAUUUGAAAAUGGAAAAAGCAUACUGCAAGAUUUGAUCUUUGACAUUAAACAGUCACUUGUGUCUGAAAUGCUACUGGGAUACUCUACUAAGACUAAAAUUCAAAGCAAAAUGAGAAAAAACAUGUUUUCAGUUCACACUUUGCCUAAUAAAUCAAAGUAUGAUACAGUAGAGAAAACUGAAUCCUCUCUAUCAUGGAAACCUCAAAGGAGUUCUCCAGUUGUGUUCAACAGACCACCACUUUUUAAAGUUAUAACAAUUCCUUGGAAACAGAGACCAUGUCUGUUUCUAUGCUGAAAAAGUGUCUAGAUAAUGAAG